CUGCGCUAACUCUCUGAGUCUCCUGGGGACUUAAAACAGUAUAAAUACUUGGUGCGCAAUGCUGCAAACAGCACCCUCCUUGGUAGUGUAUGCAACCUCUUGCUUGUAUGGGUUGCUCUAAGGGACCUUGGAGACAGUC
This 139-nucleotide small nucleolar RNA is filed under the name Propithecus coquereli (Coquerel's sifaka). RNAcentral describes it as "Small nucleolar RNA SNORA70 (ENSPCOG00000010031.1)". It matches the Rfam family "Small nucleolar RNA SNORA70". From Rfam's summary of the family: snoRNA U70 seems to be exclusive to mammals and is a member of the H/ACA class of snoRNA which contain H (ANANNA) and ACA box motifs. H/ACA box snoRNAs are involved in the conversion of uridines to pseudouridines (5-ribosyluracil) a constituent of structural RNAs (transfer, ribosomal, small nuclear, and small nucleolar). The record is from Rfam by way of RNAcentral. Lineage: Eukaryota; Metazoa; Chordata; Mammalia; Primates; Indriidae.